UACUUUUGUUUUCUCUUCAAGAAUUAGGUUUGAUGAUUAUAUUCAUUAUAUUUUCAAAGACAAACACAGUUCACCUUUGCUAUUAUUAAGAAACUUGCUGUUGAAAAAGGUACAACUAAAUCUAAUGCUAUGAUCUAUAUCUGAAUUCUGACAGGAUGAUUCAAAGAAAUUUAAAAAAAAAAAAAAACCUAAAUAAAUUAAAGCCACCAUGUUUGAAAGUGACUGAGGAAAACAGUAAAGUCUUGGCACAAGUUUUUCUAAGUACUAAAGUAUACUACAGUUGGUCAAUGUAGUAAUAAGAUAAUAAAGGCUGAUUUGCA
RNAcentral lists this long non-coding RNA (320 nucleotides) under Gossypium raimondii (Peruvian cotton). RNAcentral's name for it is "long non-coding RNA (GRAI_LNC003446)". Lineage: Eukaryota; Viridiplantae; Streptophyta; Magnoliopsida; Malvales; Malvaceae. The record is from RNAcentral.